GUCUGAGGAAACAAGCAAGACCAGCUGAGGAACUGGUGAGGCAUGGGAGGUUUCCCCUACACCGGCCAGAAGAGGACAUCGGAUCCCCAGGGACCGGAGAUGGCUGUGAGCUACCAUGCAGAUGCCGGGAACUGAAACCAGUCCUCUGGAAGGGCAGCCCUGAUCUUAAGCACCGAACCAGCUUUCCAGCCCCUUCAAGUUCUUAUUUUUAGAGCUCUUCUGCUCUUCAGGAGAAUCUCUUUCCUGUCUUCCUAUACCUCUCCACAGUCUGCAGGAGAUAAAUCUGGGCCAGGUGUGGUGGCACUUAUGGACCAGCUUGCCUCCAUCUUAGGCUUAAAAGCCAUCUUAUAGUAAAGACAAACUAGAUUCAUUCCUGUUUAUGAUCAAACCUCUGUUUCUCAGGGAACCCUGACUACAAACGGUUCUGUAUUGCCUAUUCCUGGAAAUGACAACCAUGCCUUUAGUUGUUAUGACCACUUUGCAACCCUACCUUGUUUCAAAAGGCUGUUAUGACCACCUUAUUAUGCUGCUCCUGUAACCCCUGCCUAUUUGCUCUCCAAAUCCCCCAUUUGGAAACCCCCUACCCCUGAGCUAUAAAAAUCCUUAUCUUGCCCUUG
Molecule: long non-coding RNA, 617 nt
Organism: Peromyscus leucopus (white-footed mouse)
Lineage: Eukaryota; Metazoa; Chordata; Mammalia; Rodentia; Cricetidae
Exons: 2
Source: RefSeq, a predicted model, not a curated record